This is an RNA transcript of Brachypodium distachyon (stiff brome), 8478 nucleotides long. It is a transcript of the gene named cytochrome P450 89A2, with no coding region annotated. Lineage: Eukaryota; Viridiplantae; Streptophyta; Magnoliopsida; Poales; Poaceae. The record is from RefSeq and is a predicted model, not a curated record. The transcript has 2 exons.
GGUGGUUUUAAGAGGGAGUACUUUCCUGUAGGGAUAUAUCUUUUGCUAUAUCAGUAUAUCUUGUGCACGUGCAAAGCUGAUUCUUCUUCUUGACCACCAUUAGGGAAUUAGGGCCUGCUGUCUGUCACUAGUCUUUGCAAGAUACUAAGCCUGAAGACAAAUGCAGCAUUGCAUUAGCCAAAGUGCUGAUUACCAUAGAAAAGAAAAGAUCCCUAGUUUUCAUGACUUCAACACACACCACCGGCCCCCGGUAAUAAUAUCCCACCGAGAAUAUUUUCCCCACAACACGCCUCUUCAUCCUUCAUCCAGAUGAUACCCCGGCCACCAACUUCCCACCGGUACGGCUCCACCCAAACACUCCCGACCUCAUUUCCCGGGCCGUAUAUAUAAACCAGCACCCCACCGGAAUCCCACCGGAAAAACAGACCCCCACCCCCGUCCGUCUCCGGCUCCGCCAUGGAGGACUGGCUCUUCUACUCCCUCACCACCCUCCUCUGCCUCCUCUGCUCGCUCCUCCUCCGUGCCCGGGCCAAGUCCGACGACUCUCCUCCAUCCCCAUCCCCGCCGCUGCCGCCGGGGCCAGCGGCGCUGCCGGUGCUGGGCCCGCUGCUCCACCUGGCCCGCCGCGACUUCGACCUCGAGCCCCUCCUCCGCCGCCUCGCGCGGGCCUACGGGCCGGUCUUCUCCUUCGCGCCGCUGGGGCCCUCGCGGCCCACCAUCUUCGUCGCCGCCAGGGGCGCGGCGCACCGCGCGCUCGUCCAGCGGGGCGCCGCCUUCGCCUCCCGCCCGCCCGCCGCCGCCGCCGCCACCGUGCUCACCAGCGGCGGCCGCAGCGUCAGCUCCGCGCCGUACGGACCCACGUGGCGCGCGCUGAGGCGUACCCUCGCCGCCGGCGUGCUCAACCCCGCCCGCCUCCGCGCCUUUGCCCCCGCCCGCCGCUGGGUCCUCCACGUCCUCCUCUCCCGCCUCCGCUCCGCCGACUCCUCCGGCGAUGGAUCCGGAUCCGUCGUGGCUGUCAUGGAGCCGUUCCAGUACGCCAUGUUCUGCCUGCUCGUGCACAUGUGCUUCGGCGGCGGCGGCGGGGUCAUCGGGGACAUCGAGGCGAUGCAGCGGGACCUGCUGGGGAACUUUCUCAGCUUCCAGGUCUUCGCCUUCCUCCCGCCGCUCACCAAGCUCGUCUUCCGCCGCCGCUGGAGAAAGCUCGUCUCGCUGCGCCGGAGGCAGGAGGAGCUCUUCGUCCCGCUCAUCCGCGCCAGGCGAGAGAACGCGGCGGCCGGGGCCGGCGACUGCGACUGCUACGUGGAUUCUCUGGUGAGGCUGGUUAUCCCGGAGGACGGCGGGAGGGGGCUCACCGACGGCGAGAUCGUCAGCCUCUGCUCCGAGUUCCUCAGCGCUGGCACCGACACCACGGCCACCGCGCUGCAGUGGAUCCUCGCCAAUCUAGUGAAGAACCCGGCGAUGCAGGACAGGCUGAGGGCCGAGAUCUCCGCCGCGGCGGGCGAUGGCGACAGCGAGGUGAGGGAGGAGGACCUGCAGCAGGGGAUGCCGUACCUCAAGGCGGUGGUGCUGGAGGGGCUGCGGCGGCACCCGCCGGGCCACUACGUGCUGCCGCACGCCGCGACGGAGGAGACCACGCUGGACGGGUACCGGGUGCCCGCGGGCGCGCCGGUGAACUUCGCCGUGGGCGACAUCGGGCUGGACGAGGAGGUGUGGGAGAAGCCGGAGGAGUUCCGGCCGGACCGGUUCAUGCCGGGCGGCGAAGGGGAGGACGUGGACCUCACCGGCAGCAAGGAGAUCAAGAUGAUGCCCUUCGGCGCCGGCAGGAGGGUCUGCCCCGGCAUGGCGCUGGCCCUGCUGCACCUCGAGUACUUCCUCGCCAACCUUGUCAGGGAGUUCGAGUGGCGGGAGGUAGCUGGCGAGGAGGUCGACCUCACCGAGAAGCUCGAGUUCACCGUCGUCAUGAGGCGGCCACUCAAGGCGAGGGCCGUGCCGCUGCGGCGCGGAAGGUCGUCGUCGACCAAUAUUGCCACCGCCACAUGCUCCUCAGGUUGAUGGCCGCGGCACGGCAGCCUUCUUCUUCCCUGAAUGUUUAGUACGUCAUUAGCCUCUCGCUGCUCACCAUCAUAUAAAAAUGAUUAACUAGAUUAAGCUUGUCUUGUUCCUUGCUUAAUUUGAUAGUGUUUGCUAGUAAUCGCCACUAAUUUGCUACUCCAUUUGAGUAGUGAAUUAUUGCACGCACGAACUGAAAAGCUGUGUAGUUCGAAGGAUCACGCAGGAGGAACUGCGUGCUCUAUUGAUAAAUUUCCAACGCAAGUGGAAAGAUGUGAUCACAUUUGUUCAUUGGAUAUAUAGAAGUUAACAAGUUAUCAACCGGAAAACUAGUAAGAAAAAUUGAAGAGUGAAACAAACAAAAAAUAUAUGAAGACAAGAGAAUGGUUUCCUCUUUGUAAAUCUACAUGAAAUGAUGAGAAUCAGUUCAGAUCUUGAGCAUAUUAACUCACAAUUUUAUUUAACAGAAUGCAAAUGUCUCAAAGAAUGAGGGAUUUAAAUCGAGCAGGAUUUAGCCGCUAUUGCGGCGCAAAGCUAUUCCUGUUGCCGCGAAUCAACAUCAAGCAUUAAUUUUGUAUUUUCUCCGUCCCAUCCAUAUUAAGUACCGAAAUAUUACAUAUAUUUAGACGUAUCUAUAAACUCUAUAAAACUGAAACCCACUAAUUACAGUUAAUUUAGCAAGCUGCACAUGCAGCCUAUCCAUGUCAGCACGAGGUCACCAUCUUCCAAUCCCGUUCCCGCGAGCGCGUCCGGUUCCGUUCCCGCAACCUGUUCCAGCAGCUGCCAUUGCAUGGGCUUCGCCUGGGCCAAGUUCGCGGCCCAUACCAAGAGGAAAAUGUGGCGCAGCAGCAGGAGAAAAAACCCAUAUUCUCAAAAAAACAGUGCAGGAGAAAAAACCCGAUCUGUACCCUGUGCGUUGCUUCGCCUGCCCCAUGCUCCCUCUCGCCGUCCUCUGCGCUUCAUCUUCCUCACCGAGUUCUCCUCAUCUCCUCUCCUGUUUCCUCCACCAUCUUCUUCCUCUCAGGACGAGCAGCGGCGCGACGGCAAGGUCAAUGGGGACGCGGAAGGGUGCGCCCGGCAAAGUCCACGGGAUGCCCCGUCGAUUGGCCUGGUUGGGGCCGUGGAGUGCAUCGGCGAGGCACGGUGGUGUGCCGGCACACGGCGGCGCGCGGGCCUGAUCAACACGAGGUGCAGGAGGGCGUGAAGGCGAGGUCCACAGGGCGCGGGCGCGAUUCGCCCGUAGGGGCAGCGUAGCCAUUGUUCGACCACUAUUUGAGUCGGCCACAACCACGCUCCGCCUUGGCCCUGCCUACAAUGGUUAAAACCUCCUGCACUCCUCAGCCUGACCACACGUUUGACUCUCUCCUUUUUCGCACAGAAGGUUUUUUGAUGAUUUGCUCCAGGUUCUCCUGUCUCCCUGCACAGAUGGUGUUUGAUGAUUUGCCCCAAAGAUUUGCUUUGUAUAGGAUAUGUUGAACUUCGUUUCCCUGUACAUUUUUGUUUUAGGUCAUUAUGGUAGAUAAUGGUGACAAUAUACAAAAAUCAGAGAUGAGAUUGUUCCGGUGCACACGGAGGUAAGAGGCAGCUCUGAAACUUUUUUGCUCCCUGUUCAUGUUUGGUGUGAACUAAGAACAAUUCAAUUUUUAGUUUCUCUUCAUGGUAGUGAAGUAGAAAAUGUAAUUCAAAUGAUACAAUCAUAUAUACCGUGUACUCCUUUGUUCCAUCAAUGAGUUUGUUGUCACAGGUCAUUAUGGUAGAUAAUGGUGACAAAAUUACAAUAAUCAUAUAUGAGAUUGUUCCGGUGCAUACGAAGGUAAGAGGCAACUCCGAAGCUUUUUGGCUCCAUGUUCAUGUUGGCUGUGAACUAAGAACAAUUCAAAUUUUAGUUUUUUUUCGUCGUACAGUGAAGUAGAAAAUUUAAUUCGAAUGGUACAUGUUACGAAAUCCGGUGGAUGCAUGAUCAAGGAUGACACCGAGGCACGAUAUUUGUUAACGAGGUUCGGCCAAAACCUACAUCCCCGGGGCAUGACUACGGGCGCUCCUCCCCCCAUAAUACCGCAACACCGGCCACCCUGGGCGCCAACACAAAGCCGCCGGCUCCCCCUGCGAGCUUAUUGCUAUUAUGUUGUCAUGGUCUCUUUGAGCUACCCGCGGUGCCUUUAUAUAUUAACGCCGCCAUGCUCAACCUUGCACCGCAUUGGACGUUCCGCGGCGCCCGUCGAGCAUGAUCCUCGCACCUCCCAUAAGAUCUUCCGCAUCCCCUCCACCUCGCUCUGAUACCACUUGUUACGAAAUCCGGCGGAUGCACGAUCAAGGAUGACACUGAGGCACGAUAUUUGUUAACGAGGUUCGGCCGAAGCCUACAUCCCCGGGGCAUGACUACGGGUGCUCCUCCCCCCAUAAUACCGCAAUACCGGCUACCCUGGGCGCCGGCACAACCCGCCGGCUCCCCCUGUGAGCCUAUUGCUAUUAUGUUUUCUUGGUCUCUUUGGGCUACCCGCGGUGCCUUUAUAUAUUAGCCCUACUCGUACACAUAUUCGACACAUAUCUCAACAAACUCCACCUUGGCGAAUAUGUCCUUCGCCACCUUGAAGCCGUCAUGCAUGAACCUCCGUGUACCUUGGACUUGAAUCGAUCAUGAGCUCCACUGCUACUUCCUUAGACAUCACAUGACUCCACCUGCAACUGUAGUCCCUUCCUUUUCAUUAACAGUCAAUGCUCCCGCGGAAAAAUAAGUUCCUCCACACUCCCGCCUUGUGUUCCUAACUUCCCGGAGUAUCCAUUCAACGCCAUCACACACCGAUCAUAAGGUCACCAUAUCCGACAACGCCGAUGUAUCGUCACCCUGAUUCCCUCUUCCUUGAUCUAUGUGAAAAUUGAACAACUCACAUGUUAGCUGCCACAUAUAAGAGUUACAUGAACUCAUCAUCCUCGCCAUCGUUGUCUGUCCUCAUGAAACUUGAAGGAAUGUCGCCGUCGCCCUUGAGUCACCUUGAGUCAAUUUCACAGUUGACUCAUCCUUUCCGUAUAGUCGUCUACAUGUCCCACAGCCACCGCACUUCGUCUCCUUCUGCAUCCCGUCACCUGCACUUUGCCAUGUGCAUCGAACAUCACAGAAUAUAUGUCCAUGUGCUCUCUAAGCCUUUGACAAUCCAGACUUUACUAAAACACUUUCUCAGAUUCUCUAUGGUCGACUCUUGUCCAUCACUUCAGACCUUCAGGCCAUCCCGAUAGACCCAGUCAGCAACUUGAACCUGGUACUCGCCAACACUGCUUCAGCACCCCUGCACACAUGUCAAACUGCUGUCUGACCGCAUAUGCCCUGAUCUGUUGCUGUGUCCCGUGCUUACCGCACACCUCACUGCUAUUACCGCGUCGAGCAUCCGCAAUCUUGGCCAAGAUCUACCGGGUAGCUAACCCACACCAUCUCGGACCCCACUGCAGAUCCAUCCGUCAUAUCCGACCGAUGCCGAGUUCCACGCCUCCUUCCAGACCCUGAGCUCCAGCCUAGAUCCACGUGCCUCUCGCCUUCCUUGCUGAUAUAAGCUCUGACUCUCCGCUAGCUUACGCCGUAGCCUCCCCAUCAGCCCGAGUGGAAUCUUCCGUCAGAUCCCAUCUCCCCUUCAACAGGACUCCUUAGUAGAUGAUCAGUUCACCUUGCGUCCUGUCGACUUCAAGUUCCCGUGUGUACACCUUCUUGAAUCAACCCAUGCACUGCAUGUUGAAGCACGCACCCCUCAGGCACGCGCCACGUGUUGCCACGCCACAGAAUUCAGACACCAUCAGCCCUCACGCUCCUAUGUCGUUGUCGCCGAUUUCACCGUCCUUUUCUGUUCCGACCGACAUUAUCGUCGAUCUGCCGGACCGUCUAGUCCAGCCCAGUCGAACUUGUCCGACUGCAACCAUGCUCCACCUUGCGUCGUAGCUCGACGCCUUGUAGACACACGAUUCUCACGACUCGCUCCAGGCUACUCCAAGCCUUAUACGCGUGUCGUCUCUCGUCGCCUAAAGUCACGCUUCGUAUGUGAUCACUUUUUUCCUCCCUUUCUUGGAGUCCGUGCCCAAAUCCCAAUUAGCCAAACACAUCGUGUACUAAUGCUCCUCUCUAACCAACCGGCUAGUACUGCUGCACCCGCGCGUGAUUCCCUUCGUGCGUGACGCCGCGUUUGCAGUUGACUUAGAUUUUUUAAUCCAUCUGCCACAACUUCGCUCGACGAGAUAACUCCGGUGCCUGUAACCUGCUGCCGACGCCGGCACUUUGUAACAGUCGCACCCUUCUGCAAAUUAUAUGCACAAACCCGUGUUGCAUCCUGGCCAACUGCAUCGUCCACACAACUCGUCCACCAUGCCACAAUGCCGCCCUGUGCUACACCGAUCCACCGCUAUACCGCGAUGCAUCCCGCCCCGAUCUAUCCGGUCGCACUUGCGUCCGGUCGCCGGUCUGAUCGCGAGCCGAAGCCAUCGUCCGGUCCGCGACGUCUUCCCGGCCACUGUGUCGCCCGAUCACCAUGCCUGGUCGAUCCUUGCCAACUGUAGCCCAUCGAACGGUUCAGGCCGCCUGAAGUGUCUGACUCCACCGAUCGAAAAACCGAUCUCCGCCAUGCUCAACCUUGCACCGCAUUGGACGUUCUGCAGCGCCCGUCGAGCAUGAUCCUCGCACCUCCCACAAGAUCUUCCGCAUCCCCUCCACCUCGCUCUGAUACCACUUGUUACGAAAUCCGGCGGAUUCACGAUCAAGGAUGACACCGAGGCACGAUAUUUGUUAACGAGGUUCGGCCAAAGCCUAGAUCCUCGGGGCUUGACUAUGGGCGCUCCUCCGCCCAUAAUACCGCAACACAGGCCACCCUGAGCGCCGGCACAAAGCCGCCGGCUCUCCCUGCGAGCCUAUUGCUAUUAUGUUGUCAUGGUCUCUUUGGGCUACCCACGGUGCCUUUAUAUAUUAGCGUCGCCAUGCUCAACCUUGCACCGCAUUGGACGUUCCGCGGCGCCUGUCGAGCAUGAUCCUCGCACCUUCCACAAGAUCUUCUGCAUCCCCUCCACCUCGCUCUGAUACCACUUGUUACGAAAUCCGGCGGAUGCACGAUCAAGGAUGACACCGAGGCACGAUAUUUGUUAACGAGGUUCGGCCGAAGCCUACAUCCCCGGGGCAUGACUACGGGCGCUCCUCCCCCCAUAAUACCGCAAUACCGGCCACCCUGAGCGCCGGCACAACUCGCCGGCUCCCCCUGCGAGCCUAUUGCUAUUAUGUUGUCAUGGUCUCUUUGGGCUACCCGCGUGCCUUUAUAUAUUAGACCCGGGUUACACGUGUUCGACUCCAACACCUAACCCUACGCUAAUUCUAAGUCCAAUUGUAGCCCUACUCGUACACAUAUUCGACACAUAUCUCAACAGUACAAUCAUAUAUAUCGUCUACUGCUUUGUUCCAUCAGUGCGUUUGUUGUCGCAGGUAACAUAAAAGUGAGAAUUUAGUUCUUGCAAUACUUCAGAAACCGCCAGGUAUUGUCAAACAAGCUGAACGUUGUUCCACUGCUGAGUAUUGACUUUCUUAUUUUACUCCAUCUUUUCAUCUUGGAUAUGUGCUAUUAUCUCAUGAGUUAUGCCCUAAUGACCUGCUCAUCUCAUAUAUGUACUAUUUUAUUCUAAAAAUAAUAUACGCUUGAGGUGCACAACAAUGUUUUCUUCUGCGUUUUACCCGCUACUUCCUGCAGUUGCUAAUCGGUUUAUAUCUGCAGGAUAUGAAAGCUUUCCUAAGGCUGGAUUUUCUUAUAAAGAUGCGCCAUGCUGUAGCAUAAUGUUCUCAUGUGUUAUUUACCUUUGUUGCUGCAGUUGUUGUUUAUCACAUUUGUAGCAGAUCUAAGGAGCUAGCAGAUCAAUUGUGUUAUAUAAUUAUAUGGACAAAGAAUUUACAUGUUGUUUCGGAAUCACCUUGCAUUGUCAAUUGGUUUCAUUCACUCCUUUGCUAAAAUAUAACGUAGUAAGCUGUCUUCUCUACGGUUUCAAUCAUCUCCCUGAAAUAGUUAUAAUCAAAUUUUGCAGGUGACACCAAGAGCUGUUGAAACUAUUGAAGCAAAACACAUGCUUUGUUUGGUGGCAUUAAUUUCUAAACUAUAUAAGUGAUCUAUUAUCUAAAUGAAAAUUGCAGUUUAGUCAGACAACUUAUUUUAUGGAAUAUAUAAAGGUAUGUCUAACACUAUUCAAGAGCUUAGAUUAUGUUUCCUUUCUAAAUGAAAACAAUUUUUAUACCAUUUUUCUCUUAUUGCUCAUCAGGUUUUAUACCAUCAAUUGUCCAUUCAAAUUGCAGACUCCGAGCCCCGCCGCAACGUGCGGGGCAUCAUCUAGUUUUAGUAUAUAGAUAUGUCCAUAUUUAAACAAAUUUGAGCCACUUAAUAUGGGCUGGAGGGAGUAUUAAUCUUCUGAUUAUACACCGAA